RNAcentral lists this ribosomal RNA (253 nucleotides) under uncultured bacterium. RNAcentral's name for it is "partial 16S ribosomal RNA". It matches the Rfam family "Bacterial small subunit ribosomal RNA", at positions 524 to 776 of the family's 1533-position model. The record is from RNAcentral.
UACAGAGGGUGCGAGCGUUAAUCGGAAUUACUGGGCGUAAAGCGUGCGCAGGCGGUUGUGCAAGACCGAUGUGAAAAUCCCCGGGCUUAACCUGGGAAUGGCAUUGGUGACUGCACGGCUAGAGUGUGUCAGAGGGGGGUAGAAUUCCACGUGUAGCAGUGAAAUGCGUAGAGAUGUGGAGGAAUACCGAUGGCGAAGGCAGCCCCUGGGAUAACACUGACGCUCAUGCACGAAAGCGUGGGGAGCAAACAGG